Molecule: ribosomal RNA, 1168 nt
Filed under: uncultured organism
Description: bacterial SSU rRNA
Rfam family: Bacterial small subunit ribosomal RNA
Source: RNAcentral
UAGCGGCGUGCUUAGACAUGCAAGUCGUGCGAGAAAGUCCUUCGGGAGUGAGUAAGCGGCGCACGGGUGAGUAACGCGUGGGUAUCUGCCCUUAGUUUGGGAUACCGCGGGAAACCGGAGCUAAUACCGAAUAAGACCACGAUGACCUCGGUUGACGUGAGAAAAGAUGGCCUCUUCUUGAAAGCUAUCGCCAAAGGAUGAGCCCGCGUUUGAUUAGCUUGUUGGUGAGGUAAAGGCUCACCAAGGCUCCGAUCAAUAGCUGGUCUGAGAGGAUGAUCAGCCACACUGGAACUGAGACACGGUCCAGACUCCUACGGGAGGCAGCAGUCGGGAAUAUUGGGCAAUGGGCGAAAGCCUGACCCAGCAACGCCGCGUGAAGGAUGAAGGCCUUCGGGUCGUAAACUUCUGUCGAGAGGGAAGAAAGCGUGCGGGUGAAUAAUCCGUACGUCUGACGGUACCUCCAAAGGAAGCACCGGCUAACUCCGUGCCAGCAGCCGCGGUAAUACGGAGGGUGCAAGCGUUGUUCGGAAUUAUUGGGCGUAAAGCGAGUGUAGGCGGUUUGGCAAGUCGGAUGUGAAAGCCCAGGGCCCAACCCUGGAAUUGCAUCCGAUACUGUCAGGCUAGAGUCCCGGAGAGGGUGGCGGAAUUCCCGGUGUAGGGGUGAAAUCCGUAGAUAUCGGGAGGAACACCAGUGGCGAAGGCGGCCACCUGGACGGUGACUGACGCUGAGACUCGAAAGCGUGGGUAGCAAACAGGAUUAGAUACCCUGGUAGUCCACGCCGUAAACGGUGAGUGCUCGUCGUCGUGGGUAUUGACCCCUGCGGUGACCAAGUUAACGCAUGAAGCACUCCGCCUGGGAAGUACGGUCGCAAGACUAAAACUCAAAGAAAUUGACGGGGGCCCGCACAAGCGGUGGAGCAUGUUGUUUAAUUCGAAGGCAACGCGGCAGAACCUUACCUGGGAUUUGACAUCCUCGGGAAUCUCUUCUGAAAAGGAGAGAGUGUCUUCGGGAAGCGGAGAGACAGGUGCUGCCAUGGCGGUCGUCAGCCCCGUGUCGUGAGGUGUUGGGUUAAAGUCCCGCAACGAGCGCAACCCCUUAUCGUUAGUUGCUUGCCAGUUCGGUUGAGCACCCUAGCGAGACUGCCGGUGUUAAACCGGAGGAAGGUGG